This 500-nucleotide ribosomal RNA is filed under the name uncultured bacterium. RNAcentral's name for it is "partial 16S ribosomal RNA". It matches the Rfam family "Bacterial small subunit ribosomal RNA", at positions 28 to 507 of the family's 1533-position model. The record is from RNAcentral.
GACGAACGCUGGCGGCGUGCUUAACACAUGCAAGUCGAACGGGUCUGCCCUGUUUUUUGCGGGGUGGGUCAGUGGCGAACGGGUGAGUAACACGUGAGUAACCUGCCCCUCACUUCUGGAUAACCGCUUGAAAGGGUGGCUAAUACGGGGUGUUCUGGCUGUGCCGCAUGGUGUGGCUGGGAAAGAUUCACUUUUGUGGUGUUUUGGUGGGGGAUGGGCUCGCGGCCUAUCAGCUUGUUGGGGGGGUGAUGGCCUGCCAAGGCUUUGACGGGUAGCCGGCCUGGGAGGGUGGGCGGUCACACUGGGACUGAGAUACGGCCCAGACUCCUGCGGGAGGCAGCAGUGGGGGGUAUUGCACAAUGGGCGGAAGCCUGAUGCAGCGACGUCGCGUGAGGGAUGGAGGCCUGCGGGUUGUGAACCUCUUUCGCCGGUGAAGAAGGUCCUGCUCUUUGUGGUGGGGUUGACGGUAGCCGGGUUAUGAAGCGCCGGCUAACUACGUG